AGCGAGAUGGCGGUGGCACCGUCCGGCCGGCGCAGUGCCCUGCCAGGGCCCAGCGAUCGCGCCCGCCUGCGGGCCUCAGGCGGCGGCUGCAAGCCCCGGUACGGCGGCGCGGGGCGGCAGCUGCCGCAACGCUGCGCGGGCGGGCGGGCGAGAGAUGCCGAAGCUGCGUGGGGAGGCUUUCUGGAGGGAGACGCUGCGGAGCGCCCAUUACGUGGUGGCGCCCAUGGUGGACCAGAGCGAGCUGGCCUGGAGGCUGCUGAGCCGCCGCCACGGCGCCCAGCUCUGCUACACGCCGAUGCUGCACGCCCAGGUCUUCCUCAGGGACGCCAACUACCGCCGCGAGAACCUCUACGACGAGGCCUGUCCUGAGGAUCGUCCGCUCAUCGUGCAGUUCUGUGCCAAUGACCCUGAAGUGUUUGUCCAAGCAGCGCUGUUGGCUCAGGAUUAUUGUGAUGCCAUAGACCUAAAUUUGGGUUGCCCCCAAAUGAUUGCAAAGAGAGGUCACUACGGAGCCUUUCUGCAAGAGGAAUGGGAUCUUCUUCAGAGAAUGAUUUUACUGGCUAAUGAGAAGCUCUCUGUUCCCAUCACAUGCAAAAUCCGCGUUUUCCCAGAAAUUGACAAGACAGUGAAGUAUGCACAGAUGCUGGAGAAAGCUGGAUGCCAGCUGCUGACUGUGCACGGCCGUACUAAAGAACAGAAGGGACCGCUUGCUGGCGUGGCAUCCUGGGAGCACAUUCAGGCUGUCAGAAAAGCUGUAAGCAUUCCUGUAUUUGCAAAUGGAAACAUCCAGUGUCUCGGUGAUGUUGAAGAAUGUAUCCGUAAGACAGGAGUGCAUGGUGUCAUGAGUGCAGAAGGUAAUCUCCAUAACCCAGCUUUGUUUGAGGGCCGAAACCCAUUGGUGUGGGAGAUGGCUGAGGAGUAUCUGGAGAUAGUGCAGAAGUACCCUUGUCCAUUGUCUUAUGUUAGGGCUCAUCUCUUCAAGCUCUGGCAUCACACGCUUCAAGUUUACCAGCAACUGCGUGAAGAAUUAGCAAAAGUGAAGACUCUAGAGGGCAUUGUAGAUGUCAACAGGGAGCUGAAACUACGAUGCCAGGAAGAAAUAGCUAAUCAGAAAGAAGGAGAAAAGCCAAAAGAAGGGUUGCCUUUCUUCCACUGGAUCUGUCAGCCAUACAUCAGACCAGGGCCAAAGGAGAGAUGCAAGGAGAAUGGAGCCAGUGAAAAAGGUGUGCGAGGAAAACGUGCUUUGGAAGAGGAGGAAGAUGGAAACGCUGAGCUUCUGUCAAAGAAUAAACAAAAAAAGAAGUUAAGAAAUCCAAAUAAAAGCUUUGAUCCAUCUUUAAAACCCAAAUACGCAAAAUGUGAUCAAUGUGGAAACCCUAAGGGCAAUAAAUGUGUGUUUAACAUGUGCCGAGGCUGCUGUAAGAAAAGCGCAUUCAAAGCGACAGCAGACUGCCCAGGUCAUGGAUUACUUUUUAAGACCAAACAUGAAAAAUCCCUUUCAUGGCAGAGUAGUCGAAGAGUAAUUCAAAACCCAGAGGUCAGUCGAAGAGGAGCUGUAGAUGUGGGGGAGACUGCUGUACUGAAGGAGGCUGGUGACAGUGCAGUGUGAAGCUUUGAAAAUGCCUAGUUAAAGAGCUCUGCUAGGCCUCUGCUUCCCUGGGCCAAGGAACAUGCUGUCUCCAGCUCACCAUCAGCUGUGCGAACUUGUUCCUCAGGUUUAUUUUAACUUCCCCAAACCAUCAGAAAGCUCACUCACUGCUCACUGUGCCAGAGAAGAGUUUACAGAGUCAGAAAAGAAAUGAGAAACAUCUGCUGUGCCGACACACCAGUGGACUGGUGCUCUGUGAGACAUCCUUGACCACACAGUGGGAUUUCAGAACACAUCUCUCACAAGCAGUCUCGUCACAGAAUCACCAGUGUGAAGAAAAGGAUCCAACUGGCUUUAGGCUCCUAAAUUCAGGAGGGUCCUGAUACUUGAGAAUCCCAAUUGGACACAUCUCUAUACAGAAUUAGUGUUUAAGACAUAUGCAUCCCCAACCACUCUUCCAAGGUGUUUCUGAAUAGGCAAUGCAGACAGAUGCACACUUAUCUUGUGGGCUUCUGUCCCAUGCUGUGGCAGAAGACUGCAGUGCUCCUCUCACAGGGCUGGAAACUGCUCAGGCAGGCACUGCAACAUGGAACUUCGUUUGUGCAUUAACUACAUCACCACGCUAAUGGAAAAAAGUUUCAACCUAAGCUUCCAACAGACAUUCUAGAAGCUAAUGAGGAGGUGAAGAUGCGACUGAGGAGGUGAAGAUGACCACUCUAUCAUUCCUUAAUAAAAAAAGCUUGUGAAUUAGGAGGCAGUAUUACAACAUAAGUAAAGCUGAGCCAUUUACCAUUCAUGCUGGGCACAUCUGCACCUACACUAACUAGGAAUCACUUUCAGGCAAUAUACUCAUUGCCCUGUUUAUCUGUAAUAAAAAAAUUUCAGCCUGCCAAGUAAGCAAGAUAAUGUCCUAUUUUGUCAUUGUUUCACAGGCCUUCAAAAAGAUAGACAUUAGUUAACUUGAAUGAGAAUACGGGGAGGAAUAGGCAGAGCUCUGCAUGCAGAAUGAUGGUGAAAAUGAUCCUCAGUCUUUGGGUUUGAGGGAGAUUGGAUUCCUGUACCUAAAUCCAUUUUCAGAGGCACACAAAAAAGUAGUAGUCGUUCACCUGACAAAAAGGAAGGUAAAUGCCUGUGUUGGCAAAGAGCUCGUGAGAGGAGACAGACAGGAUUUGUAAAAAAAAAAA
RNA transcript from Strigops habroptila (Kakapo), 2772 nucleotides. It is a transcript of the gene named dihydrouridine synthase 1 like, with no coding region annotated. The transcript is spliced from 14 exons. Lineage: Eukaryota; Metazoa; Chordata; Aves; Psittaciformes; Psittacidae. The record is from RefSeq and is a predicted model, not a curated record.